RNAcentral lists this long non-coding RNA (22276 nucleotides) under Olea europaea (common olive). Its description in RNAcentral is "long non-coding RNA (OEUR_LNC004130)". Lineage: Eukaryota; Viridiplantae; Streptophyta; Magnoliopsida; Lamiales; Oleaceae. The record is from RNAcentral.
GACAUUGAUGAGUGUGCAGAAAACAGCAACACCUGUGAAAAGAUAUGCAUUAAUACACCUGGAGGUUUUAACUGUUCUUGUCCACACGGCUACUAUGGGGAUGGCAAAAAGGAUGGACGUGGUUGCAUUGCUUAUAACUCCAAAUUUCCUGUAAUCAAGUAUUCCUUAGGUAGUUCUUAUGAUUUCUUGAAAUUGUUUAGCACACCAAAACAAAAAUACAGAUUCAAAUAUUCUUUUAUUUAAUUUAUAAUACCAAUCUUUUCUUACAAAUUCAAUGUUCAGGUAUCGUAUUUGGGUUCUUGACAUUAGUUAUUGCAAUAAUUUGGCUAUAUAUUAUCAUCAGCAAAAGGAAACUCAUAAAACUGAGGGAGAAAUUCUUUCAGCAAAAUGGUGGUUUGUUGUUUGAACAACAGAUCUCUUCAAUUGAAGGCAACAUGGCGUCAAGGACGAAAAUAUUUACAGCAGAGGAGCUUGAAAAAGCUACGAACAACUACGCAGAUGAUCAAAUUCUAGGAGGAGGUGGUUAUGGUAUUGUCUACAAAGGAAUUCUACCUGAUAAACGUGUAGUGGCCAUUAAAAAGUCCCGAGUAACGGAUCAGAGCCAGAUUGAGCAAUUCGUUAAUGAAAUGGUUAUUCUUACACAAGUUAACCAUCGGAAUGUGGUGAAGUUAUUGGGAUGUUGUUUGGAAUCAGAAGUUCCAUUGUUAGUUUAUGAGUACGUUUCGAAUGGAACUCUUUUCCAGCACAUUAGUACUUGUGCAAUGACUUGGUUAUCAUUGGAAAAUCGUCUGAGAAUAGCCUCAGAAGCUGCUGGUGCACUUGCGUAUCUUCAUUCAGCAGCCUCUAAGCCUGUAAUUCACAGAGAUGUCAAGUCUGCCAACAUAUUAUUAGACGAACAUUACACUGCAAAAAUUUCAGAUUUUGGAGCGUCGAGAUUAAUCUCCUUGGAUCAAACUGAAGUGACAACGUUAAUCCAAGGGACCCUUGGAUAUCUUGAUCCCGAGUACUUCCACACGAGUCAACUGACAGAAAAAAGCGAUGUUUACAGCUUUGGGGUGGUUCUUGCAGAACUUUUGACAGGGAAAAAACCCCUUGAUAUGCAGAGACGCCAAGAAGAAAAAAAUCUUGCAACAUAUUUCAUCAAGUCCAUGAAAGAAAAUCGUUUGUUUUCUAUUCUUGAGCCUCGGGUUUUGAGGGAAGGAACUUUAGAGCAACUCCAAUCCGUUGCUGAACUUGUCAAGAGAUGUUUGUCCUUGGAUGGUGAAGAUAGACCUACAAUGAAAGAAGUGGCAAUGGAACUUGAAGGUUUAAGGAAAUUCACUAAACAUCCAUGGGCUAAUCAGUCUGUGCACGAAGAAAACGUUGGGUUAAUAAAAAAUCAAAGUGAAGCAUCAGAUCUUUAUACUUCUCCAAUCCCCUCAAAUGACUUGUAUUCGAUUCAAAUGGGGACUUACACUAGCACUGGGGAAUUCUCUGGACAACAUAUCUCCGACAGUUCUCGUUUGAUGUUUCCUGUAAACAGCCCUCGGUGAUAGUUCAUAGUAUACGUUCAAGUUCAGCGAUGACUUAGACCAGAGUCAAAUCAUGUGGCGUUCCUCUUCAAUACUGUACAAUCCAUCUUUCAAGUCAAGCUAUCGCUUCUUUAUUUGUUUAUGUUUCUUCUUCAUCUACAAUUUGGAUUUCUUCUUAUGAAAUCUCCUUAUUGUCCAGUGAUUAGUCUUUUUUUUGUUUUUUAACGUUUUACUAAUUUUUUUGCCUAAUGAUUAAUAUCUAAUGUACUAUUGAUUCAGUUAGAUCCAUUCAAAAUUGAAAGAGUUGGAGAUCAUUAUACCAUUCAAAAACGUGAGAACAAACCAAUAUUCGUAAUUCAUGCACCCAAACAAUAUAGAAACGAAGAGAGAAAUGUGAGACUCACCUUCUUUACUACAUCGGUCUAUCUUCCUCUCUACCUAUAUAUUCCUCACCUCCACACCUCCACUCACUACCACUACCUCAACCCACGAAGACAUUACCUAUUAUUCUCCCAACUCCAUCCCUUUUAUUUAAGAGAGGAUCUUAGAGAUAUCUCCUGAAUUUUAUGGUAAUAUUAUCCAGACGCCUCUCACAUUUAAAAAAUCAUAUUAUCUUCUUUGUUCUAGUUUUGUGCAUCACAUAAUUUUUUGAGCCGUAUAUCAUCUAAAAUGAUGUUGAUAUACCUAAAAAAUUAAAUUUCUAGAAUUUUUUGCAAUAUAUUUGUUCCCUUUAAAUUAAUACGCCAGAAUUCUAGAUUGCAUGCUAGUGAAAAUUCAAACCUAAUGAAGAAUUUGGUGAUAAAUAAAACAAGAAGUUAAAUAUAAACAUGUAAUUUUUUAUUAUUCAAGUAAGCGGAAAAAUAGUAAGAGUUAAUUCAUUGAAAUGAUAUGCACCUUCACAAUUUGUUGUUAAAUGAUAUAUAAUAAAAUGUUAUAUUAAUCAUUAUGAUUUGGCAGUGUAAUAUCGUUUUAUCCCUUUUUGAUCAUUUGAUAUUUAAUUAUAUUAAUCGAUAUUUAUUAUUAUUUUUAAAUUAAGUACUAUAUAUAAUAUUACUUAUGAAUAACUAUGUCAAACAUGCUCUAUAAUUUACUUUGAGCAAUUUUAACUACAACUGAUCAUUGUCACAGAUUUCAUCUUUUCCUUUACAAGGGAAUUUAAAAUAUAAGUCAUCAAGAGUGUGUAGAUAUUCAAAAUUAGAAAUAAGGGAGCUUAGGGUAAUGUUCUAAACAUGAUGGGGGUGUCUCUCAUACAUUUUUUUUUAUUUGAAACACCCAAAAUAAAAAAUCGGUAAUGAUCACAAUUUUAAACAUGAUGGGGGUGUCUCUCAUAGUCAUAUAGUCUCGAUAUUUUUUAAAAAUAAUUUUAAAUAUAAAAGUUGAACAAAUCUUGAAACACUAGCACUAAUUCUCAACCCUGGAUGGGCCUAACAGUGGCUUCUUAUAACCCAUCUCACUCUAAAGAUCCGAGUGCGUCAGAUUGGAAGCCUUACAUCCUAAAUAAAAUGGAACUCGCCCAAUUUUAGGGGAAUGUAUUUAAUUGAGACUUUAAAAUUUUGAUGGACUUUUUUAAAGUGACAAUUUCUGUGGAUUUCGUGAAUCUUUUAUAGGUUUGUAUGAAAUUAGUGGAAGACUUUGAUAGAUUUCAAUUGACUUUCAUUAUAAAAUUUUUAUAGAUUUUUGUAGAAUUUUAAAAACUUUUGAAGACUUUCAUUUGAAAUAGAACUCAUGUGAAUCUAAUAAAAUGAUGUGAAAUUCUCACAUACAUUACGAGGUGUGUUGGUUCCCACAAUUCUCUUUUCCUUCCCAUUCUUCUUCCCAUAUAAUAAAAAAAAUUAAAAGAAUAAAAAUUUAAAACAUUGAUUAAGCCCCCGUUCGGUCCCCAUUAUUAUUCUCACUCUUUUUAUCUCUCUUAUUUUCAACCACACAAUCUUCUAUAAAAUAAUAUUAUACGCAAAUAAAAAAAAUUUCAUUCUUUUUCAACCACACAUUAUUCAAAAAAUACUAUUCCAAUCAUUAAAAUUUGGCAGGAACGGGGGCCAAACAGGUGCUAAAUAAAUAAUGAUCAAAAUUAUAAAUAUAUAUGAUAAACAAUAAAUUUAAUAUUCAAUAUUAUUAGUAUAAUAUACUUUUAAAAAUAAAUAAAAAUAAAUAUAUUUAAAUUUAACUAUAAAUUCUUCAUAUAGAAUUUUAUAUUUCAAUAAAAAAUAGAUAUUUUUCACAAAAAAAAAAGAAUGAAAAACGAAAAAAGUGUUACAAGAAUCCAAUAAUUUUUCAUAGAAAAUAGAGAUAAACAAUAAGUGAGAAAAAGAUGAAAAUAAAUAUAAUCAAUAUAAAAAAUAAAUUUUAAUCAUACUUGUUCGUAGAAGGAAAAAGGAAAGAAAGAUUGAAAUAUAUAUAUAUAUAUAUAUAUAUAUAUAUAUAUAUAUAUUGUGAAAGUUUUUCAAAAUCUUGUGAUUAAUGAGAGAUAAAUUUUAAGAUUUUAUAUGAGUAUUUUCUGCUUAAAAGUUAGUAUUCCAGUCAUUAAAAUUUGAAUACCCCGAAACUUAUAGAGACUUCUAAAAAACUUUAAUUGAAUACAUCAUAACUUUUAGAGACUUUUUAGAAGUAUAUAAAAGUUUCAAUUAAAUAUAUCGUGACUUUUAGAGAUUUCCUAAAAGUCACUAAAAUACACCUUGACUUUUAGAGAGUUUCAAAAAGUCUCAAUUGAAUACCCUUAAAUUUUUUAAAUCCCAAGAAGUCAUUAAAAUUCUCAAUUGAUUACAUCCCCUUAUUCAUUUUUGAGAAAAAUUGGUGCGUUUGACUGUCUAUAUUUUCCAUACAAAAAUGUCAUUUUCCACCCAAAUCCCAAAUUUUGUGCUGUUUGAUUGAUAUUUUUUUCAGAAAAAAUAGUUUUCUAGUUUUGAUCACAUGAUCAUAUUUUCCUUGAAAACAAGGAAAAUACUUGCUUGCAUGGGUGAGAAACUACUAGCUCAUGGAUGAAUAUUGAUUAAAAUCAUAUUGGUUAUUGAGCGAUUGACAAAAAACAUAAUGAAUUAUGAGACCUAGCUGGAGUAGCUUUUCUUAGAAGCCAUAAUUCAUUUUCAUUUCGUACAAUUUUUUCCUAUCUACUAGAAAAGAAAUAUAGAAAAUAUGACAUUAUCGUACUAUUAUAGAACCAGUUGUGUUCACUUGUAGCAUGGUAAUUAGUCGUAUAAUGUUAAGAAAGAUUGUUUAGGCCUGUCAUGAGGCUGAUUUUUUUCUUUUAUAUCUUCAAUAUUGUACAGUCCAUCUCAUUGAACACAUCACAUAUGUUCUACAUGGCCACAAAAAUUACAAGGCAGCUCAAUCUCAAACCACCACUAAUUUCCCGGUAUGUCAACAGAAAACGAAAAUUGUACACACCUCUCAUUCCUUUAUUGGCAAGAUAGCCAGCAUCAAGUAGAACCUGAAAUGCACAAAACCAAGGGCGGAUCUGGGGGAUCCUAAAGGGUCAAUUGAUCCCCCAGUUUUUGAAAAAAAUAAAAAUAAAAAUUCUAAAAUUCUGCCUUUUUUUUAGAAUGUCAAAGUUUAAAACCUCCACUAUAAAUAUAUAAUGCAAUCGAUAAUUUCAAACUUUGCUUUGUGCCUUUGUUUCUCUCUCCCAGUUUCUCGAUCGCGGACUGUCAGUACCAUUUACAGUUUACUCACCGUAUAAAAGUUUGAUUGUGACCCCUUAACCCAAAGUGUCUGGAUCCGUCCCUGCACAAACUACUACCCUUCUGCCUAAAAAACUAUGCCAUGAAGGGGGUGAACUAUUUACAAUGUUGGUUGUGCUAGAAUAUAAUUUUAAAUAUAAAAGUUGAACAAAUCUUGAAGAAAAAUGCUGUUUGUACAAUGGUUUAUUCACAAUUUACAUUACAUAAUUUCAAAAAAGGCUGAGUUGUCAGGCAAAAAAAGAAAAAAAGGAAAUGAGAAAGUAAAAAGGAGGGAAAUAGACAUUGGGAACCACAUCACCUGCUUCUUCACGCUAAAACAAGCUGCUUCAACCAUUUUGGCCCAAAUCCAGAGACACAUUUUCCCCUUUUUCACGAAAAUGCACUGAGAAAUACAACAUUAAUUUCUGGACAUACGAUAGUGAAAUCCAAACCACCGUGGUCAAGAAACUGCACAAAUAAGAUUUAUUGAAGCCAACGACUGUGGUCGGCAAAUUUCCCGACUCCUAAAGCCGGCGACUGUUGUCAACAAAUUUCAAAAAUGUAACCGGGUCCAUUACAUAAUCUUUCUCGACGGCACUUCUCACGUCUCUUCAAGUGUGAAUAUUGCAUUAUUCGAACCAAAGGUAUUUGAGUAAUUUUAUAGAUAAUUUUUCCAAGUUUGAACUGAUGUGAUUCAGGGACGCAUUUUUAUAGACAAAUUUCCAAAAUGUAACCGGGCCAUGCUAUGAUUUAUUGAAGCAUUCGAAACGAAUUCUGCUUGUGUGAUAUUUCUUUGAAGGUGAUCGAUAUGAUGAGCAAGCCUUUGAUUUAUCUUUGUUUUGGUAAUGAGCAGGUUCCCCUGGUUCUGGACUGUGAGCUGGACAUUGAUUUAGAAGCGGAGCAGUGGCUUUCGUGGUUGAUUUUCAUCUUUAUUCACAUUGAUAAUUUUUCCAAAUCUGUAGUUCAUCGUUGGUUUUCGUAUUUGUUAAGUAUGUAGCUGCUAAUGUUAAUGAAAUUGUCAAUUAAUAAAAUGUCAUACAGACAAUUUUCAACUGGACUUUGAGCCAUGCAUGGAAUAGUUGGGCUUCACUCAAUUACAUUAAUUUCGUGAAACUAUUAAAAUGUUCUUACUUCAGUGUUUUUGAUUUGUAUACAUCCUCACAUAGUAGAAAGUGACAUGUUUAAUAUCUUCCUGUCCAGAGGCAGAAGGCAUGGUGGAAUCCGGUGAGUUGUUGGUGGAGUCUGAUGAUGAGAAUGUGGAGAACAACAUGAUCAUUCUGGACGAUGAAAAUAUUGGAGUUGAUGAUCUGAUAGUGCCUGCAGUUGGUAUGAAAUUCAAAGAUGAAACGGAAGUCUUCGACUUUUAUAAAAGAUAUGGUUAUGCCGUUGGUUUCCCAGUUCGGAAACGAAAUUCGAAAAAAGACGACGACGGGGUUUUGAGAUAUGUGACCUUGACAUGUAGUCGUGAAGGUCGUCGAAGUAGUACUACAAGCGGUUCUUUGAAGCCUCAACCAACAAUUCAGACUGAUUGUAAAGCGAGGAUCUCUGCAUCUUUCGAUGUACUUGGUACCUGGAGAAUAAAUACAGUCCACCUUGAGCAUAAUCAUAAAACCAGUCCUUCAAAGUCCAGAUUGUAUCGUUGUAAUAGAGAAUUGAGUGCACAAGUAAAGCGGAGGCUUGAAGUUAAUGAUACGGCAGGAAUUCCAUUGCACAAAAGUUUUAACUCUGCCGUUGUUGAAGCAGGUGGGUAUGAGAACUUGACAUACGUAGAAAAGGACUGUCGGAACUAUAUUGAACAAGUGUGACGACUAAGACUCGGAGAAGGAGAUGCCGUAGCCAUACAGUCCUACUUUUCAGAAAUGCAAGUGCGAUGCUCGGGCUUUUACUUUAGUAUUGAUUUGGACGACGAAUCGCGGUUGAAGAAUGUGUUUUGGGCGGACUAUCGAUGUAGGCAAGCAUAUAGGGAGUUCGGGGAUGUUGUUACGUUCGAUACCACUUACCUCACAAAUAAGUAUGACAUGCCCUUUGCCCCUUUUGUUGGCGUAAACCAUCACUGCCAAUCAACACUGCUUGGAUGUGGUUUGAUAUCGAAUGAGGACACGAACACUUUUGUGUGGCUGUUCAGGACAUGGCUUAAAUGCAUGCAUGGUCAACCUCCGCAUGGAAUAAUUACCGAUCAGGACAGGGCUAUGCAAAAUGCUAUUGAGGUUGUUUUUCCACAUACAAAACACAGGUGGUGUUUAUGGCAUAUUUUGAAGAAAUUACCUGAGAAGUUUGGAUAUCACUGCCAAUCAACACUGCUUGGAUGUGGUUUGAUAUCGAAUGAGGACACGAACACUUUCGUGUGGCUGUUCAGGACAUGGCUUAAAUGCAUGCAUGGUCAACCUCCGCAUGGAAUAAUUACCGAUCAGGACAGGGCUAUGCAAAAUGCUAUUGAGGUUGUUUUUCCACAUACAAAACACAGGUGGUGUUUAUGGCAUAUUUUGAAGAAAUUACCUGAGAAGUUUGGAUAUCACGUGGAUAAGGGUUUGAUAUUCUCGACUAUUCAUGAAUUGGUAUAUGAUUCACAAUUUAUUGAACAAUUUGAACAAGGUUGGAGAGUAAUGAUCGAUACGUUUGAGUUGCAUGACAAUGACUGGUUGUCGGGAUUGUAUGAGAAUAGAGGACGUUGGGUUCCUUGCUACUUCAAAACAACGUUUUGGGCUGGGAUGUCGACAACACAGCGAAGUGAGAGUAUGAACGCCUUCUUUGAUGGUUAUGUGCAUGCCAAGACUUCAUUGAAACAAUUCGUCGAACAGUAUGAAAGAGCACUACGAAAUAAGGUUGAAAAGGAAUUUCAGGCUGAUUUUAAGUCUUUUUCACAGAUGGUACCAUGUGCUACAACAUAUGAAAUGGAAAAGCAAUUUCAGUCAGUCUACACCAUUUCCAAAUUUCGAGAAGUUCAAGCUGAGUUUACGGGAAAAGUGUACUGUGACCUUAUAUCUGCUUCGCAGGGACAUUUUGGGAUGACGUAUGAAGUACGAGAGGAUGUUGUGUGUGGCAAUCGCCGAACCAAAAAGACAUUUCGAGUAGUCCUUCAGAAAGAUACAUGUGACAUUACUUGCAGCUGCCACUUGUUCGAGUUUCGGGGAAUAAUUUGCAGACACACGAUCGCAGUGUUGAUUCGUAAUGAUGUUACCAUACUACCGAGCCGCUACAUAUUGAGGAGAUGGAGGAGAGACGUAAGUAGAGCACAUACGAGGGUACCAGUUAAUUACGCUGGUUUGGUAAGUACUCCUGGGCAAUUGAGGUACGACAAUAUGUGUCAAGCGUUCUCCUCGGUUGCUGACCUUGCAGCAGACGAUGAAGUCCGCUCACGUGCGGUAAUGAAUUGGAUUGAAGUGAUAAAGAAAGAGCUUAUGAUGUCACCUCCAAGUACUGGUAGUAAUAUCUUAUCGCACAAUACUUUUCAGUUACCCUCACAAGGUACUGGAUCGCAAAAUACUGUUGGUGGGAGCAUAGGAGAUCCUAAACAAUCAAAGAAAAAGGGCGCGCCAAAGAAACUUCGAAGGAAAAGCCCGUUGGAGACAUGUUCAAAGAAAACAAAGGUAGAUAUAUUAUUUCAUUUGUUGGCAACCUUAAAAAUAAAUUAUCAUUUUUUCGAAUUUUCUCACAGGUGUCGUCGACUGCAUGCAUAAGACAGAAUAACCCAGCUCAUGAUGCACCAAAAGUUCAGGUAUCUGAAGAACAACAACAUGCCACGCCAACAUCAUCAUCGUAUUCACACCAAUUCUUGGUACGUACAUGUAUUUCAUAAUUUUUGUUCGCAUUGAUGUGUUAUGUAUGUUGGUACUUUAUGUAGGGCGGUGAGGAAAGUUUUGCAUUUGCACCACAUAUACCAUCGCCCAGUGCGACCCAGUUGGGUAAGACACAUGCUAUGUUAAAUUCUGAUGGUAAAUCCUCAUCCUAAUUGGCUAUUCGAACUUGUAUUUUUUAUUUGCACGUAAUAAUGUAUGGUUUUGGAAGUUAGGUAACGUAGUUUACAACUACUAUCCACAUGCCCGUAAUGCAAGGGACACAGGCUUGUGACGGGACGUCAAAAGGUAAUAUUUAUAGAUAUACUUAUUCUAUGUUGAAACCCAAAUUCGAAAUAAUUUAAUUACGAGAAGUUAAUUGGAAUAAAUGUCACCUAAUGAGGGCAGUUAAGGACUACAUGUUUAAUUUAUUUUGUGAAGGCAAUUGAGCUUGGACUAAUACUUGUAGUAUAUUCUUUGUACAGCCCAGUGGUAGGGAGAGGUUUUGUGCACCUCCAUUAACUCUGGCCAGUUGGUUUCUGUUACUUUUCUGGAUUUUGAUGAGCUUUUGCAAGAUUUUAUGACUAGCCAGUUCCUGGUAGCUUUUCUGGAUUCAACAUAUGCAGACAAGGAUUUUAUUCAAUGAAAUAUUUAGCGGAGGAAUGUAUGCUUACUUUUUUGGUUAAAAGCAUAGGAAUUCUGUGGAAGUGAUAGCCACUUUUGUUAAACGAAUGUCAAGUNNNNNNNNNNNNNNNNNNNNNNNNNNNNNNNNNNNNNNNNNNNNNNNNNNNNNNNNNNNNNNNNNNNNNNNNNNNNNNNNNNNNNNNNNNNNNNNNNNNNNNNNNNNNNNNNNNNNNNNNNNNNNNNNNNNNNNNNNNNNNNNNNNNNNNNNNNNNNNNNNNNNNNNNNNNNNNNNNNNNNNNNNNNNNNNNNNNNNNNNNNNNNNNNNNNNNNNNNNNNNNNNNNNNNNNNNNNNNNNNNNNNNNNNNNNNNNNNNNNNNNNNNNNNNNNNNNNNNNNNNNNNNNNNNNNNNNNNNNNNNNNNNNNNNNNNNNNNNNNNNNNNNNNNNNNNNNNNNNNNNNNNNNNNNNNNNNNNNNNNNNNNNNNNNNNNNNNNNNNNNNNNNNNNNNNNNNNNNNNNNNNNNNNNNNNNNNNNNNNNNNNNNNNNNNNNNNNNNNNNNNNNNNNNNNNNNNNNNNNNNNNNNNNNNNNNNNNGUUUUCUUUUAUUUUUUUCCCCUCAAUUCCACGUCACAUUGUAAGGUAUGUUGUAAGUCCCAUUGUACGAGUAGCGGGACUGAAUCUUGAAACACUAGCACUAAUUCUCAACCCCACAUGGGCCUAACAGUGGCUUCUUAUAACCCAUCUCACUCUAAAGAUCCGAGUGCGUCAGAUUGGAAGCCCUACAUCCUAAAUAAAAUGGAAGUCGCCCAAUUUUAAGGGAAUGUAUUCAAUUGAGACUUUAAGAUUUUGAUGGACUUUUUUAAAGUGACAAUUUCUGUGGAUUUCAUGAAUCUUUUAUAGGUUUGUAUUAAAUUAGUGGAAGUCUUUGAUAGAUUUCAAUUGACUUUCAUUUUAAAAUUUUUUAUAGAUUUUUGUAGAAUUUUAAAGACUUUUGAAGACUUUCAUUUGAAAUAGAAUUUAUGUGGAUCUAAUAAAAUGAUAUGAAAUUCUCACAUACAUUAUGAGGUGUGUUGGUUCCCACAAUUCUCUUUUCCUUCCCAUUCUUCUUCCCAAAUAAUAAAAAAAAUUAAAAGAAUAAAAAUUUAAAACAUUGAUUAAGCCCCCGUUCAGUCCCCAUUCUUAUUCUCAUUCUUAUUCUCUCUCUUAUUUUCAACCACACAAUCUUCUAUAAAAUAAUAUUAGACGCAAAUAAAAAAAAUUUCAUUCUUUUUCAACCACACAUUAUUAAAAAAAAUACUAUUCCAAUCAUUAGAAUUUGGCAGGAACGGGGGCCAAAUGGGUGCUAAAUAAAUAAUGAUCAAAAUUAUAAAUAUAUAUGAUAAACAAUAAAUUUAAUAUUCAAUAUUAUUAAUAUAAUAUACUUUUAAAAAUAAAUAAAAAUAAAUAUAUUUAAAUUUAACUAUAAAUUCUUCAUAUAGAAUUUUAUAUUUCAAUAAAAAAUAGAUAUUUUUCACAAAAAAAAAAGAAUGAAAAACGAAAAAAGUGUUACAAGAAUCCAAUAAUUUUUCAUAGAAAAUAGAGAUAAACAAUAAGAGAGAAAAAGAUGAAAAUAAAUAUAAUCAAUAUAAAAAAUAAAUUUUAAUCAUACUUGUUCGUAGAAGGAAAAAGGAAAGAAAGAUUGAAAAAAAUUAUUAUUAUUAUUAUUUUCCUAUGAAAGUUUUCCAAAAUCUUGUGAUUAAUGAGAGAUAAAUUUUAAGAUUUUAUAUGAGUACUUUCUGCUUAAAAGUUAGUACUCCAGUCAUUAAAAUUUGAAUGCCCCGAAACUUAUAAAGACUUCUAAAAAGUUUUAAUUGAAUACGUCAUAACUUUUAGAGACUUUUUAGAAGUAUAUAAAAAUUUCAAUUAAAUAUAUCGUGACUUUUAGAGAUUUCCUAAAAGUCACUAAAAUACACCUUGACUUUUAGAGAGUUUCAAAAAAUCUCAAUUGAAUACCCUUAAAUUUUUUAAAUCCCAAGAAGUCAUUAAAAUUCUCAAUUGAUUACAUCCCCUUAUUCAUUUUUGAGAAAAAUUGGUUCGUUUGAUUGUCUAUAUUUUCCAUACAAAAAUGUCAUUUUUCACCCAAAUACCUAAUUUUGUGCUGUUUGAUUAAUAUUUUUUUCAUAAAAAAUAUUUUUCUAGUUUUGAUCACGUGAUCCUUUUUUUCUUUGAAAACAAGGAAAAUAUUUGCUUGCAUGGGUGAGAAACUACUAGCUCAUGGGUGAAUAUUGAUUAAAAUCAUAUUGGUUAUUGAGUGAUUGACAAAAAACAUAAUGAAUUAUGAGACAUAGCUGGAGUAGCUUUUCUUAGAAGCCAUAAUUCAUUUUCAUUUCGUACAAUUUUUUCCCGUCUACCAGAAAAGAAAUAUAGAAAAUAUGACACUAACGUACUAUUAUAGAACCAGUUGUGUUCACUUGUAGCAUAGUAAUUAGUCGUAUAAUGUUAAGAAAGAUUGUUUAGGCCUGUCAUGAGGCUGAUUUUUUUCUUUUAUAUCUUCAAUAUUGUACAAUCCAGCUCCUUGAACACGUCACAUAUGUUCUACAUGGCCACAAAAAUUACUAGGCAGAAAAAGCAAUUCUCAAUCUCAAACCACCACUAAUUUCCCGGUAUAUCAACAGAAAACGAAAAUUGUACACACCUCUCAUUCCUUUAUUGGCAAGAUAGCCAGCAUCAAGUAGAACCUGAAAUGCACAAAACCAAGGGCGGAUCUGGGGGAUCCUAAAGGGUCAAUUGAUCCCCCAGUUUUUGAAAAAAAUAAAAAUAAAAAUUCUAAAAUUCUGCCUUUUUUUUAGAAUGUCAAAGUUUAAAACCUCCACUAUAAAUAUAUAAUGCAAUCGAUAAUUUCAAACUUUGCUUUGUGCCUUUGUUUCUCUCUCCCAGUUUCUCGAUCGCGGACUGUCAGUACCAUUUACAGUUUACUCACCGUAUAAAAGUUUGAUUGUGACCCCUUAACCCAAAGUGUCUGGAUCCGUCCCUGCACAAACUACUACCCUUCUGCCUAAAAAACUAUGCCAUGAAGGGGGUGAACUAUUUACAAUGUUGGUUGUGCUGGAAUAUAUCUUUAAAGAGUAAAGGAAAAAAACGCAAAAUAUAUUGCCCAACAAAUGAAAUCAAGACCGGCCAAAAACAAUGGAGUUUCAAGAAAAUCAAAAAAUGUGUGAAGCACCAACCGCAAGUCAAAGAAGCUACAGUAUGAAAAAGGAAACUCAAGUCGGUUCAAUUGUUUGCGAACAAACAUUUGUAAGCAAACCCACAUGUCUAUCGAGUUUAUACAUACUGAUGGCAAGUGCGACAACAUUUCAAGAACUCACCAACUACAAUUCCAACCUAAGCAGAAUUAUAAAUUAGGGCUGAAUAAAAUGUCAACUCACCAUAUCAAGGCCUAAAGCUUUGCAUGUUAAGCCGUGAUAGCAUGUUGAACUCUAAUGACUAGUCGAGACACGCCAUUAUUUUUGCCUAGACACCAUUCAUACAUGUUUUUCCCACUUGAUUUGCUCCUUAACAUCAACAGGGAACUCUAAUUAUGCUAAUCUUUUGUUACUCAGUUACCCAAAUAUUUAGAUUAGUACUCAGAUGAUGCCGGUCUAAUGAAUCGCUUUUUAAGUUCUUUGCAUGCAUUAUUGCAUUUCUAUUCUAAAAUCUACUGACCUUGUUAUCAUAGUUACAAAUAAAUAAAUUCAAGACUCCUAUGUGACUCCUGUACCUGAGGUUUUAUCCUUCGACGUUGUAGGUCACUUGUUAUUGCAGCCACUCCUGCAUGCUUAAAGUGAAAUUGUAACCAAGUGUGGAGCCUUCUUUCAAAAUUUUAAAAACAAUUACAUAUAACCUGAUUUUACCAUUGAAAGAUUUUAUAGUGCUUUCGAGCAUGUUUGGCUGUGCUAUAAAGUAAGUCAAAUUUAUGUUUGAGUUACUUAUUUAGCAACACUUAACUACCGUUGCCUUUUAUGUGUUGCAAAAAACCAUUUUUGGUGUAGUAACGACGUGGAUAUUGAAAUAGGUAUGUAAUAGGAACAGUGGAUAUGGUGCAUGAUUUGAUUAGCUCGUACUUGUUGAUGUAGAACUUGAUAUUCUUUGUGCACAACACUCAUGUUUUACACUUUAAGUUAGUGAUUGGAUUCUUGAACAGAGUAGGAUAAACCAAAAAAACAUUUAUUGUAUUAACCCAUAAUCCAUUUUUAGAGUAGUUUGGGGAUAGCUAUGAAAUUACAGGAGGACAUUGAGAUAAGUAGGGAUUCCGUGCAUGAAAUUAUACUGUGUGGAUUGCCUAAAGCCAAUGGGAUGAAGGUUAGGUGAAAGUCUUAAGUUGAGGGUUGGUUUUGGAGACUGAAUGUCUAGAAAAAGAGCAUAAUAUUAAUCUGUGUAAGAAUAAUACAUCUCCCAAAGCCUCUGUGUAAGGGUAUUUUCAAACCUAGUGCUCUAAAGUCAACUGGCUUGGGAGUCAUCGACCUAAAGCUCGCCACAGUGAUCAUAUAGAAAGCAAGAAAGAGAUAAAUUAAUAAAAAAGUCAUCUUAUCGAGCUUUUAUAACUCAAGUGAAUAAGCUUGGAAGGGUAUUUUGAAACCUGAUGCCCUAAAACCAAUUGAUUUGGGAGCCAUCGACCUAAAGCUCAUUACAAUGGUUAUAUAGAAAACAAAUGAAAAGAUGACAAUAAAAAAAACUUGAAAAUAAGUAAGCAAAGACACAAUGACAUUAAGUAAGUCCUUAGACAUUCGGUUGAUAGAAUUACACCUUUGAUAGGAGGUAAGUAGCCUAAUUUAGUCUUAAAAGUUGAAGUGAUCAAAAUAAGAGAGCCUCUACUUGUUGAAAUGUGAACUUGUAAUAGUGAAAUCCAUCCAAACUAAGAGAGGAUAAAGAUUAAAGUUCACUAAACUCUUAACUUUAGAAUACAUUUCGGGAUAAUUGGGUGAAAAGAAUAAGUAUCGGGGGUGUGUAUCUCUCGAGCGAAGAAAUGAUAUAUUUGACCACUAUUGGUCGGGAGUAAACCAAUCAUGAGGUUGACAUGAGUUCAUACACAUACGUCGAGUUAUGCAUUUACAGGUGAAUGUUGCUUUUAUUUCUGCACCGUUGAAACUACUUCUUGUGUUGAUUACUGAAUUCUAAUCCUGAGACACGGCAUGUUGUCAUGUCAUGUUUUGUGUGGAGUUAAGUCACAAUUUUAUUUGAGGACAAACAAUAGUUCAAGUUUCGGGGUUUGAUAAGUGCGUUUUUACAUAAUUAUUAUUCCCACAAAAUACGAAUUGUUGACAAAAAGUAUUUGAAUAUGGCGGAAUUCAAGAGAAAAUAAACGAAAAAUAACCAAAAUGGAGGACAACCAAAGUUCAAGGACCAAAGUGUAAAUAGCCAAAAGAUGAACCAAAAGCAUAAAUGGAGAUGUUAAAGGAUCAAGGACAAUUUGUUGAAUGCUUGAAGUGUUGGGAAAAUAAAAAAAUGAGAAAAGAGGUCAAGAUGCAAGAAAUUGGAACUUGGGAAACAAAACAUCACUUUUGAAAGAAAGAGCACCACCAUGCGGUCGCAUGGUCAUAGGCAGAAAAUUUAGAGGCUGAGUAAGAAAGAACCAUGCUGUCGCAUAGUUUACAACCAUGUGGUCACAUGGUACAAACUUGACGCGAGAAUUUUAGUUUCCUUCUUCGGCUGAAAUUCUUAUGGAAAUAAGUCAUGGGACCUGUUAUAAAAACCUAGAGCCAUCAAAUCAAAGAGAAACACAUUGAGAGACUUUUGAACACACUCUGAAGGAUAUUUUGAGCCACAAAUACGAGGAGAAACACGAAAAUCGACGGGAUUACAAGAAGAACAUUAAAUCAAUGAUAUCGUUUCUACAAAUUUCUUUGUGUUUUAUUACUUUUCCCAUGUUAGGUUAGAUAAUUUUGUACUGGGAGAACGAUGAACCAUGUAAUGUAAUCUUUUGAUUUCUAGUUUUACAUUAUUGACAAUAAAACAUGUUAUUUGAAUUUGAAUGGUUUAUUCGCAAUUAUUUUUCCCCAUAAUUAUGUGCACGUGGUUGUGUGAAUUCGGUGACGUAUUUCAUGCAUCCGAGAAAAGGAAAAUAGACUCGACAAGGUAAAAAUCAUCAUCGGGUUCAAUAUACCGCUAUGCCCUACGUGAAUCUCUAAGUGUUCACAAAAGUUCGUGCAUUCUUGUAUAUUCACAUCCGUUAUAAAGAUAUAGUCGUGUCGUAUAUGAGAGUAGGUUUAACAUUACUCAAGAGAGAUUGUUGGAUAAAAUAUGAACAUUGAUUCUUCAAACCUCAAACGUGUGGUCAAUUUUUCGAACUAGGAUUAAAAGAGAUAGUUGCAUGGGGAUUCGUGGUCCUAGUGCUUCUCUCAUUCAUUAAUUUCAUAAAACUUGCAUUCAAAUAUCAUUUUGCAUUUAAUUUCAUUAAAUUCAUUUACAAUUGCAUACAUAGCCUAGUGUAGGUAUAAUAACUUGCAACUAUCAAGCUUGACAACUUAGUUUUGGUAAAGGCAAUAUAGUAUAAUGAGACUAACUCCUUUGUGGAACGAUAUUCGAAACUCUAAAUUUCACUUCAUUACUUGCGACGAACUGUACGCUUAUGGUGUUAAAAUCAAAAGAUAAUUUUAGUAAACACUUUUACAUUUUGUAUUUGAGUUGUUGAUUUUAGAGAACGAGUUUAAUAAAGAAUGUAAGAUACAACCACUCAGUUUAAGCUUGGGCAGAUCAACUUUUGUUUUACUUCUUUGACUUUUAUUAUAUAGUUUUGUCACGGAAUGUCAAAUGGUGAGUUUGUUAGGUUUUUAUUGUAUUGGGAAUUAUUUAGACAAAAUGACUAAUAAAGAGUUGUAAAAGUCAAAAAGUCAAUUGAAUAUUGUAUAGAUGAACUAGGUAUCUUAGGGUUCGAGUUUGGAAUAAGAAGGAAAGAGUCGCUGGAUUUACGCUAGUCUAUCGCCCAUUUGAUGCUCGAGCAAAAAAAAUGAAAACACUAUCGGCCGUUUGUCACUCAGUUCUCGCUUGAGCGACACACCUGUCGCUAGAGCAACGAUGUUACGUGUGAAACCCUAGUUCGAGCUUUUUAAGAGUUUAUAUUCGACCCAUGAUACCUAAAUGCCUUCUACUAUAUAUACCCAAGCGUUUUUGGUAUGGUUGUUCAUUAUAUUACUUCUCCAUAACAUCAUUCCAAGAUUCAAGAACACAUUUAAACUUUAGAUUAAUCCUUUGAUUCUUGAGUUCAUUCAAUCACAAAUUUGGGGAAAAAAUAUCAAAUUCACAUAAUCCAAAAAAACUUACUUUCUAUACGUAUGCAGAUAGGGAUGACAAUUCGAACUGUCAAAAUCGAAAACCUUGCUUAACUGAACCAAAUAGGGCGAAAAAAUCGAAUCGAUGGCGCAAUGUGAUGAAUAUGGUAUUUGAUUUUAAUGCCCUGGUUCGGGGCCGGACGGGUAUGAUAUUUACACUCGUCGUCCGCCCCGAAUUGAUUACUCGUUAAAAAAUAAUUGGGUAAUUGGGCUUUUCAUUACUCUUUCUAUGAUUCUCUUUAACCCAAAAUUUUGACUCAUUACCGACCCGCCAAGUCCAGUUAACCUAACUCAGUAACCCUACACCUUACUACACAAAUAUUAAACAUAUAUGGAAAUUGUUUGUUAAAUUCGAAUUUUGCAUUUGGGAAUUGAGAUAUUGUUUGCAUUUUUUUUUAGUAUAUUGUUUGCUAAAUGUGAUUAGUAUUGUAUUUUUGUUUUCAUUGAUUUUUUUUUUCAUAAGUUAUUUUUUUUUUCCAAUUUGAUAACUAGAACUAUAAAAAAAUAAUUUUUUUCGUAAUUAUUAACCGCCCGAACCGAGUCGAACCGAAUCAACUUACGUGGUUAAGGUAUGACCAAAAAAAUGGUGGUUCGGUGAUGGUUUUGGCCAAACCGAAUCGUUGCCAACCCCACAUACAGGAAGGUACUUUCUCAAGAACUUUCAGAGGUUGCUGAAAAUUGAUGGAUAUUAGACUAGAAGGACAUGAAGAGUACAAGAACAAAGUGUUCUUGUCGAUCCACAGGAGAGAGACAAUUUUAGAAGAUCGGGAAUAGGUGUGAGUGAAGCACGUUCCACCGAGUCUUGAAAAUUGCAGGAAUUAAAUCAGCGAGUCUAAUAGGUUUUCUAGGUUGGAUUAUACUGUAAGUUUACAUUGUCUAUAGUGGAUGUUACUGGCUUAAUCCCGGAGUUUUCACCUAAUUGGGUUUUCUCCGUCAACUUAUUUUGUGUUGUUUAUUGCUUUCAUAUUAUUGGUUAUAGCAUUCAAACCAUUAGAUAAUUUGGAGAUGUCAAUGAGUUGAGUCGAGCCAGGUCGAGAGUCAAAACUCGAGGCUCGUGAUCCGCUCGAGAAAAAUUAAGACAGGUUUUUUUUGGCCCGAGCCUAGCUGAGUAAAAGCUCGACCAAAAUUCGAGGCUCGACCCUUACCAAGCCGGCUUGAUUUAUUUAUUUUUAGGUUUUUUACCUUUUUUUUAAAGGUAGGUCUACUCCCUCUUAUUUAUUUAUUUAUUGAGCUGACCCAUUGAGCUACGAAUUGGCUUGGGCUCAGCCCGUUGUCCCAAAAUGGGGAACCGAGCAUCGAGCUGGGCCAAUCGAGCUUUUUUAGAGUCAAGUCAUGGGGUUAAAAAGUGACUUGUUGCUUUUAAUUGUUAAUUUUAAUUCCGCGUUAUUCACCGAUUCACUCCCCUCCCCUUCUAGGCGACUUUAGGGUCGAACUAUGAACUUUCACUAACGACUUUGUGGAGUUUGAUUCUUAACAUUACCAUCAUCAUAUAGUAAUUUCAUGUUUAUUGCUCAAACUAAGUGAGCCAAUAUCAUUAACUGUAGCUAUUCAUUUGAGUAUAGAUCAAGUAUUAAACAUAUUUCAUAACAACAAUACAUCAAAUUGAAAACAUCGUAGCAUAAAUGUAGUGCCUAAAAACCAUGUAAUACAACAUAAAAUGAUAUACCAUUGCUUAUUUUCGAACGACAUAAUAUUUUAUUAUAAUCGCAACUUUUCUUUGAACUAUUAUUAUUAUAUAGAAAUUCCAACUCACAAAAAUUCACAAUGCCACUAUAAAAUUAUACAUCAAAUGGGGUGGUAUCUUUGUAUAACUUUAUAUUAUUUGCUAAUAAAAACGUUAAAAACUUUACAUUAUCUGUUUAGUGCUGAGUUUCGGUCAAAUAAUGGAUUUUUUUGAAGAAAUCUGUCCAAAUGUUCUUUUACUAAAUAGUUUUAAAAGGUUUGGGAGGUUUGGAUGCUAUCUACAGUACUAUUUUGAAAGGUUUGCAAAUUCACCUGUUUUUCGUCUUACAUAAUGCUUUUGUUGAUAAAAGUAGACAUAAUAUGAAAAUAGUAAAUUAGGUUACCGAAUUAUAUUAACCCAUUGUUUUUUUAAAAGUUUUUUUUAUGUAUUCUAAGCAUUUUCGAAAUUAUUAUGAGUAUUCUAACAUAUUCAGAAGUUGUAGAACAAUCCAUCGAAAUGAUUAAUUGGAUUUAUUAAUUUCAUUUUAGUAUCGCUAAAGUAGCUAUACUCUAUUUCCUUUAUACACAAUAUGUAAGUGCACAUUUAUGAUAUAUCUAUAUGUAUAUUUUUACGUUGGGAUUUCUGUACUCUUUUCAAUUGACUAAAACUAUUGAUAGCUUUUUUACAAAAAAGUAAUCAAGAAACUUUGGCGAAGUGAUUAUCAUUUAUUUGGCUUUUAAUUCAUAUAUGAUAGGCCUCCAAACCUAUUUAUGAGAUUUUAUUUAAAUGGUUGGUAGUCGAUCUAUAUUUCAUGUUUCUAAUAAAUUUUAUCCUACUGAUUUUGCAGAGUUUAAUUCUUAACAUUACCAUUUAAUAUUUAUCAAUCAUCAACAAGUAUUCAAUAAGUUUAUGUUAAUAUCAAUAUUAUCAUCAUUAUAUAGUAAUUUCACAUUUAUUGCUCAAAUUAUGUGAACCAAUAUCAUUAAGUGUAGCUAUUCAUUUGAGCGUAGGUCAAAUAUCCAAACAUAUUUCAUAUCGACAUACCAUCAAAAUGAAACUGUCAUAGCAUAAAUAUAGUGCUUGAAAACCAUGUAAUCGAUAUAUCAUUGCUUAUUUUCGAACACCAUAUUAAUUUGUUAUAAUCACAACUUUUAUUAUAUAGAAAUUCCAACACACGAAAAUUCACAAUGUUACUACAAAUUUUUUUUUUUUAACGUGUAUACAUAAAAUGGAGUGUAUCUUUGUAUAAAUUCAUAUUAUUUGCUAAUAGAAACGUCAAAAAAUUAUAAAUUUGCUAAUAGGAAGAAAAAAAAUCGUUUUGCAUUUUCAGUUAUAAAUUUUUUCUUAUUUUCAGAAAACAAGUGACCAAAUGCGUUUUGGACAUUUUCGAAAAUUAAAAACAGAAAACGGCUGGAAAACGGUAAAGGAAACGUCCUCUAAGUACUUCUAAAUGGGAAUGUAGUCUUCGUCUGUAAAUUCUAGAAGGAAAAAGAAAAGAAAAGUCGUUCAGCAUCGUCAAUACACGACAAGAAGUCAAACUAAGCUGCUCAAUUAUUUUUGGGAUGAUUUGGCCAAUUUCAUUCGUACGAAUAUUUUCAUUCAUUUAUGGCGUCAACUUGUCAAUAGCGUGUACUUAAGACUUUUAGCCUGUUUGAUUUUCAUUACAUUACAUUACAUUCUAUUUUUCUCUCUCCUAUUUUCAACCACACAAUCUUCCAUAAAAUAAUAUUACACGUAAAUCGAAAAUUUUUCUUUCUUUUUCAACCACUCAUUUUUCAAAAAACACUAUUCCAUACAUUAAAUUUUUUCCGUAAUGGGGCCAAACAGGGGCUUAUUUUUAAUAAUAUUAUUAAUCUAAUAUAAUGAUACACUAAUAUUCAUCUAAGUGGACAGUGAGAAUCUACUUAGACUUAUUCAAUGAAUUAAAAUUUCAUUUUUCCUUUAUUGGACCAGUCUCGAUUGAUCUCAACCGUCACUUACAUUCCAAAACAAAUUUAAAAAUAAUUUAUAACUAUGAAUCAUAAGAUUAAUAGUAGUAAGUCUCGAGAAAUGUUUGAAAUUUAAUAAAUAGUAAUUAUGAAUGUGUAAUUAAAAUAAGUGUUUGAUUUUGACUAAAUUUAUAAAUGGUACUGCAUACUAAGGCUUACAUACUACAAUAUUAGAAUAUGUUUAACAAAGCCGUGAAUAAAAAUAAAGUCGAUCAAUUUAUUCAUUUUUAAUUAAUCUCAAAAUUUAGUGAAAUAGAGGAUAAAUAUCUUUUGCAAGCUUGAGUGGUCUUCCCUCCAGGAGUCGGUGAGUAAAUAUUACGCAAACUUCUCGGUAGACUUGAGAAGACCAUAACAGAUUCAGUAUAUAUAUAUAUAUAUAUCAUUAAUUUGCUUCCAUUAAUGGAGCCACUCAUAAACAUGCAGAAGAAAUUUCUGAUGUGGGCAACCUAUAUUUGUUUCUUUUGGAUUAUAUCAGCUACAGCCGACACAAAUACUUCAUCCGCCUCAAACGCCACCAUAAUAUCCACCAUUACCAAAGGAGACAACAUCGCCAAGCCAAACUGCCCACGCCGAUGCGGAAAUUUGACAGUCCCAUAUCCAUUCGGCAUCGGCAUAGGAAGAGGCUGUGCCUUCGGUGAGUGGUUUGAGGUCAACUGCAGCACCGCCUACAAUCCUCCCCGGGCGUUCAUUGCACAGGGUAAUAUCCAAAUUUACGAUAUUUCUGAUAGUCAAAUGCGUAUUUCAAAUGUAGUGGCGAGUAAGUGCUAUGAUGAAUCCGGUGAUGUCGUGGACGAAUACACUGCAUGGACGAAUAUUACAGGGACCCCGUUCAGUUUCUCGGAAUCCAACAAAUUCACCAUGAUUGGGUGCGAUGACUACGCUUCCAUGACGGGAGGCCGCGGCAGCAAAAAUUUCACUACUGGAUGUCGUUCUCAGUGUUACAGCGCCGAAACUGUAGUAGACGGAUAUUGUUCCGGCAUUGGUUGCUGCCAAACACCGGUGCCAAAGAGUUUGAAGGACUACAAUAGCAGAUUGAGGAGUUUUAAUAAUCACACAGGCAUCGCAUCAUUCAAUCCCUGCGGCUAUGCAUUUCUCGGUGAGCAGGAGAGAUUCACGUUCCGUGGUGUGGAAGAUUUUUUGGACACUAAUUUCAAGGAGAGGAUCCGGGAAACUGUCCCCAUUGUUCUAGAUUGGGCACUCGGUAAUAUAACUUGUGACAAAGCUCGAUUUUCCUUGGACUAUGCUUGUAAAGAGAAUAGUUCCUGUGUUGAUACAAACAAUGGUCUUGGAGGUUAUCGUUGCAGCUGUAACAAAGGCUUCCGAGGAAAUCCUUAUCUCAGUCCCGGCUGCAAAGGUUUGUUUUCAAUUACCAUAGACUCAUGUUAAAUUACGUCACUAAAGUUAAAGUUUCUGGAACAAAAAAUUUAUAUCAACUGUAGAGGAAAUGACUUUUAUCUUGUGAUUGACAUUUCUUUUGUUACUUUUCCCAUUAUUUGGUAGACAUUGAUGAGUGCGCAGAAAACAGCAACUGUGAAAAGAUAUGCAUUAAUACACCUGGAGGUUUUAACUGUUCUUGUCCAAACGGCUACUAUGGGGAUGGCAAAAAAGAUGGACGUGGUUGCAUCGCUCAGAACUCCAAAUUUCCUGUAAUCAAGUAUUCCUUAGGUAAUUCUUAUGAUUUCGCGAAAUUGUUCAGCACGCCUAAACAGAAAUACAGAUUCAAAUAUUCUCUUAUUUAAUUUAUAAUUCCAAUCUUAACUUUCUUACAAAUUCAAUGUUCA